UUGCAGUUAAAAAGCUCGUAGUUGGAUUUCUGGGAGGGUGCCAAUGUCCGCCGACGUGCGUGCGCAGCGGCGCCCUCUCAUCCUUCUGUUAACGUCUCUCGGCAUUCAUUUGCCGGUGGCGGGCUCAGAUAUUUUACCUUGAGAAAAUUAGAGUGUUUCAGGCAGGCUAGGCCGGAAUACAUUAGCAUGGAAUAAUGGAAUAGGACUUCGGUCUCUUUGUUGGUUUGAGGGACUGCAGUAAUGAUUAAUAGGGAUAGUUGGGGGCAUUAGUAUUUAAUUGUCAGAGGUGGAAUUCUCGGAUUUGUUAAAGACUAACUUAUGCGAAAGCAUUUGCCAAGGAUGUUUUCAUUAAUCAAGAACGAAAGUUAGGGGAUCAAAGACGAUCAGAUACCGUCCCUAGUUCUUAACCCAUAAACUAUGCCGACUCGGGAUCGGGGGCGCGAACUAUCCGCCUUCGGCACCGUAUGAGAAAUCCAAGUCUUUGGGUUCUGGGGGG
This 496-nucleotide ribosomal RNA is filed under the name uncultured eukaryote. RNAcentral's name for it is "SSU rRNA". It matches the Rfam family "Eukaryotic small subunit ribosomal RNA", at positions 613 to 1121 of the family's 1831-position model. The record is from RNAcentral.